GUAAUUUGGUCGACAUUUUGACAAUUAUAUUUAGCAAUAUUUCGAUAAAUGCGGACCUGCUUCUUCCUCUUUUCGUAGUGACGGUGUUUCGAUAACUCAGGUCAGUUUCACGGCAAAAAUAAGUUGUAGUUUUGAAAUUCGAAUGUGCAUUUAUUGAUGUAACGAUAAAGUACAUUUCCGAGAAUAAUUAGUGAAAGUUUCAGUAGGUGUCGAUUUUUGUAAAGUAGUGUAUAGGCGAUGGAUUGGCUCAGCCAUGUGCUCGUCGUGUCAGCGGGGCGCAAGCCGUCAUGGGGGAUGUAGGCUACACUACAAUGCACGUGAUUGAUGGUUGAACAUUCACUCUCGUUGACAGUGUAUUAUUGAAAUAUUUGAUUGUGAUGAUGGUGUAUUGUACUAGGCCUUGCAUGCUCCCAACGUGUGGCAUAUUUCACAUUGAUACUACCAGUAUCAAUUACAAAAAAAUAGAUUGUGAGUAACAAUAGGCCUACAAUACAAUCAAUGCUACAUGUCAUGAGGGUGGGAACGGGGAAGGGGGGGGGGGGUAACUGUCUCGACGUCCCGUUAGGAAAAAAGGCUUAUCCCGUUUCCCAAUAUGCAAUUUUAGCCGAAUCGUGACGCAAAACACGGCUUGUCUCGAAUCCCGCUAAAAUAAGGGUGUCUAUCCCGAAUCCCGACAGUUAUUUUCGGCCCAUCCCAGUGUCCCAAAAAUACCCGUUCUCCCCCUCAUAAAUAGUAGACCAUAUUGUCACAUUGAUGUUUUCUUUCAUUACAGUUAGACUUCGAGAUCUACAUUUUCGACAAAGGCCUGGUGUAUAAAUAUUACGUACUUGAUGAAGGUUUAAUGACACGAAUGAGUACAAGUACAUUACAUAUUUUCGACGAAGGCCUUCUGUAAUUUCAUACGCUUCUUACGUUAGACUUCGAGAUCUACAUUUUCGACAAAGGCCUGGUGUAAUAUUAUUACGUACUUGAUGAAGGUUUAAUGACACGAAUGAGUACAAGUACAUUACAUUUUUCGACGAAGGCCUUCUGUAAUUUCAUACGCUUCUUACGCAACAUUCAAUAGAUUUAUUUACUGUAUUAUCAUUUCGACCAAGGCGAAUUCGACACUUCAAUUACACAAGGUUAGUAACUUUUGUUCACAAAAUCCAAAUGGAGGCAAAUACAGAACAAUCAAACUUAGUCAUUCCAGUCAGUUACUGAAGCACAGUGAAAACUGUCGGGAGCAGUGCAACUGAUGGCAUGUCAAACUUCCAGUGACUGUCCCUGUCCAUAUAUUUCAAGACAGUACAAAUCUUGUAAUCAUUUUGUUUAUGCAAUGUACGUUAUUAUGUAUCAUUUCAGCACAAUCAAACUUAGUCAUUCCAGUCAGUUACUGAAGCACAGCGAAAACUGUCUGAAUUAGUGCUGCUGAUGGCAUGUAAUUACUCUACUACCACUACCUGUGACAGUCAAUGUCCAAAUAUUUUCAAGUGUGCGAAAUUAGUACUCGUCUACUUCUUAGUGUUAUUUGAAUGCAAUGUAUGUUAUAAAAAUAUUUUUUCAACACUAUAUCAACAUUCUCAUUCCUGUCAGUUUCUGAAAAUCAGCUAAAGCAAUCGCUACCAAUGCAGCUGAUAACCGCAAUUCUUUUUGUUCCCAAUGCCCAUCCAUGACAAUAUAUUUCACGCAUGUGACAAUCAUGUAAUCAUCCUGUUUUUUGUGUUCUAUUCAUGCAAUAAAUAAAUUCAGUAUUUUCAAAUCAUUGGUGCUACAAAACUAUUCUCAUUAUAGAUUAUUCAUAUUUUAUAAAAUGCUGUCAUGUCAAAUUUUGUGUCCUAUAAAUCAUAAUGAAGUCGGCAUUUUAUAUACAACUUUUGUACUCCUCCUAAAUAAACAUACAAAUCUUGUUUUAUGUAAACUUUGUAUAUGUGACCCGUCACAGCAAAACCAGGCGCAUGUCGCUCUGAGCUUGGCAGGUUGAGACGGACUGUUCUAAUCUUUCAUUAGCGACACCAUUUUUUACCAGAGUGCCUCCUUCAUUCAUACAUCUUGUACUUUAACUCAAGAUACCCAUCUUUGAAUAUUUUUAGUAUACCAAGUACUACAAUGUCAAUGUAUUGAAGUCAUGUUCUUGUAGUGUUAUUGGCUUUCUAUUAUCUUGUCAAAAUACCACUUGGUUCUCGCAAAAUCUCAAUAAAAACAAAUGCUAUUGCAUGUAUUGCAUAUUCUAACAGCUAUCCACUGUAUCGAUUUAUCCAUCAUCUGUACUAUUUGUCACAAAAAUGUUAUAUUAUGUAAAUCAUAUUUCAUUACAUAAUGCACACUGCCAAUUACUGCUGAACCAUUCAUAUGUCAUUUAAAUAAA
Lineus longissimus is the source of this 2347-nucleotide long non-coding RNA. RefSeq lists it as uncharacterized. The record is from RefSeq and is a predicted model, not a curated record. Lineage: Eukaryota; Metazoa; Nemertea; Pilidiophora; Heteronemertea; Lineidae. The transcript is spliced from 5 exons.